Molecule: ribosomal RNA, 360 nt
Filed under: Tetra coriariae
Lineage: Eukaryota; Metazoa; Arthropoda; Arachnida; Trombidiformes; Eriophyidae
Description: partial small subunit ribosomal RNA
Source: RNAcentral
CUUGACUAGCAAGAGUGACGGGCGAUUUGUGCAUAUUAAUUUUCUUUCUCAAUAUCAAUUUUUAUUUAUUUUAUUUUAAGAACAAGUCCUAUUUCCUAUGUGGCAUCCCUUAAUGAUCUUAUUUUUUUUAUCUUUGUAUCCCGCUAUUCUCUUAAGCAUUACCUCUGUCUUGAUUUAUAUUAUGAUCUUUUAUAUUUUUUGGAGGUGGUACUUCCUGGACACAAUGAUAUAGAGGGUAAUAGAUUAAGUGCAUUAGUAUCGUGGGCUGUCUAUUAUGUCGUAGGAUCCCCUGUGAAGAUUCAAUACCGCCAUCCCUCUUAGUUUCUUUUUCAUUAAAUACUCUCUUUACUUUUAGUAGAA